AAAUAUAAUUGGAAUACACGUUCUCGCAAAUCUCGCACCUCCACUCUCCCAGUCUCCCUCAUUUGCAGGUUGGUUCCUUAACGUGAGAAACCCCCAAAUCUCCAUUUCUUUUUCCAAACAAGUCUUGCAUCGAACAUGAAUCACAUCUAAAACCAGCAGCAAAACACAUAGAUUCAGAGGGGAAAGGGGAGGCGAACUAGAACAGAUUCGCGAGGAGGAACAGCAGCGAUGAACGUGGCGGCGCGUGGGAGGAAAAGCAGUGGCGGAUCGGAACCUCACGAGGGAGAACGGUGGGUCGUGGUGAUGGCUAGCAGAGGAGCGUGGUGGAGGCGAUUUAGAAGGAAGGGAUGUGGUGCAGCCAUGGGAGAGAAAGGGAGUGGCCACUGGUUCCUCCUCCUCCAACGGCCCCAACCCUAACGCAGCAGCAGAGCAGUAAAGACCAGCUUGCUGGAAAAGGAACCUGUUGAUUUUUGGCCUCUUAUUCUUGAUUUCCCUCAGAUUUGUUACCUCUGAUUCACAAUUUCUAUCUCGCAGGAAGCUCCUCACCGAAGCCAUAAUGUCUACUGCCUCACGCAGGCUUCUCCCAAUCCAAUUCUAUUACCUAUUUGCACUGCAAUAUAUCUGAUAAGAACCUUGGGAGAACCACACCACAAAAGCUAGCUGCUGUAGUUGGAGAGCUCAAGGCCUUAUAAACCCCACAUUAGAAUCCCAUACUUCCAAUGUGGGACUCAAGUCUCAUACCUUGCAAUGGGGUCCUAACAUCCCACCACGCUCCGUAGCCCCGGCGCCCACGCGGGCUGGCUGUGCACUAGCCCCACGACUAGUCCCGGGCGAACACUGCAAUGCCGGCGUUACCACCCGCGCCGCUCGUUUGCAUCUCAGAGACAUGGUGGAAGGCUCUGAUACAAUUGAUAAGAACCUUGGGAGAACCACACCACAAAAGCUAGCUGUUGUAGUUGGAGAGCUCAAGGCCUUGCAAUGGGGUCCUAACAAUAUCCCCCCCUGAGAAAGACACUUUCCAGUUCUGCAGCAAGCAAAGAAACAAUCAUGGCAGCUCCAACAGAUUUUUUGGAUCCAAGAUAGCGCCCCCGAUAAUAAAGAUCCCAUGAUCAGCAAUCUAUUGUGGAUGCCCUUUCGAGUUAGCAACAAGCAACUUUGGGCAAAAUGUAGACAGAAUGGAGUAUAAUGAUAUAGAAGUUUCAUUUUCGUCCUCAGCACCUUAUGCUCUGACCCUGACUCAAUUUCACACAAAUCAGAAGCACUGUGUAUAAAGGGUAACCCAAGCAACGCUUUCGCAUUCACCAUGUUCAGUAUGAACAGUGGAAAAGCUUCAGAAGAUCUGAAGCUAUACAAACUCUGAUGAGGACUCAGUCGCUAGAAGCUCUGAUGAUCCAGAAGUUCUGACAACCAAGAAACACUGAAGGUUCAGAUGUUCCGAUGGUGUAGAAGACUCUGAAGAUCCAGAAGCUGAAUAGUGGAAACUCUGAAGUCCAGAAGCAAGAAACUCUGAAGGCCAUGUUCUUCCCUCUGAGUUCAGAAUCAGAAGAUACAAUGGUCAGAGGAUCUGUGCUAUCCCUCUGACUCUGAUCAACCGGUUUCACAAGUUCCAAUACGAAGCAUUCCUCUGAUCAGAAGUCUCCUAGGUUAAAAGGUCAAGUCGCUAUCCAAGUACAAAAGCAAGUGUACCUUCCUGACGACCUACCUAACGUUCUCAGCCACAGCAGAAGCUGGAUUUUCCAGAACUGCCCUCCAACGGUAGCAUUUCCCAUGCAACGCUCAACCCUAAUCCUUGGAGUAUAUAUAGAGGCUGAAGAUUGAAAGAAGCGGCUAGAAGAAAAAAAAUAUAGAAGAAGCAAUACACACGCGCAAGAUAUAUUCUAAGCUUUCUUUCAUCUUGUAAUUUAUUUUAGUUUACACUCAGCUUAUUCAGAAGCAAACCCUUGUAAACACCAACCUCAAACAGUUGUUUGAUUUUCCUUUAGGAGAUCAAGGUUGAUCGGAUCCUAGAGAAGACUAAGAGAGUGAAUCUUAGUGUGAGCUAAGUCAGUGUAAUUGUUAGUCACUUGUAGGUUUCAAGUGCAGUUGUAACUCUUACCUGAUUAGUGGAUUGCCUUCAUUCUAAGAAGGAAGAAAUCACCUUAACGGGUGGACUGGA
Long non-coding RNA from Lotus japonicus, 2155 nucleotides. RefSeq lists it as uncharacterized. The record is from RefSeq and is a predicted model, not a curated record. Lineage: Eukaryota; Viridiplantae; Streptophyta; Magnoliopsida; Fabales; Fabaceae. The transcript is spliced from 4 exons.